RNAcentral lists this unclassified non-coding RNA (421 nucleotides) under uncultured Basidiomycota. Its description in RNAcentral is "sequence contains ITS2". The stretch from base 1 to 153 matches the Rfam family "5.8S ribosomal RNA". Lineage: Eukaryota; Fungi; Basidiomycota. The record is from RNAcentral.
AACUUUCGACAACGGAUCUCUCGGCUCUCGCAUCGAUGAAGAGCGUAGCGAAUUGCGAAAAUUAGGGCGACUUGCAUAAAUCGCGAACCAUCGAGUUCUUGAACGCACACUGCACCCUCUGGGUAACCAAAGGGUCUGCCCGGUUGAGUAUCGAUUGACUAACCUCGCGCCUUCUGGUGCGGACAUGAGCGACUGGAGCAGAGUCUCUUGUUGCUUGAAUUGUAAAAGUGAAAGUGGCCACACUGUUGAGCCGCGUGUUGCAGUUCCACCGAUUGUGCAAGCAGUCUGGGAUCAGCGCGCUGCAGUUUAACAACGUCACACACAACAGCGAUGCGCUGGCGCCUCGGCGACCAGCAACCCAUGCGAUCUCAACUCGGGCAGGAUUACCCGCUGAACUUAAGCAUAUCAAUAAGCGGAGGCU